This is an RNA transcript of Oncorhynchus kisutch (coho salmon), 2418 nucleotides long. It is a transcript of the gene named gamma-enolase-like, with no coding region annotated. The transcript has 13 exons. NCBI's taxonomy places the organism in Eukaryota, Metazoa, Chordata, Actinopteri, Salmoniformes, Salmonidae. The record is from RefSeq and is a predicted model, not a curated record.
CGUUGUCACAUCCGGGAUUCAUACACAUGAUCACUGUAAAGGAGGCGUUUCAUUCAACACAGCCUCCAAUAUUCUUGAGGUUCAUCUGUGGCUCAUCAUAUGGCAUUUAGAUUCAAACCGGCAAGCCUUCGGGUACUGGCCCGACUUUCUAAGCUUGAGGCUACCCAUGCCAACCCAUACAGGAUUGCUGACAUACAGGGACGCUACAUUAGGUUGGACUCUCUCAGGCAGCAAUGGGAAGAUGACCACAAGAGGGCACUGAAGUGUGGGAAGCUGUGUGGUAGCAGCAAAGGGAUGUCGAUUGUCAGCAUCGUUGCGAGGGAGAUCCUAGACUCCCGGGGAAACCCCACUGUGGAGGUGGACCUGUGCACAGAGAAAGGUCUUUUCAGGGCUGCAGUGCCCAGUGGAGCGUCCACAGGCAUCUAUGAGGCUCUAGAGCUGAGGGAUGGAGACAAGAGCCGCUACAGGGGCAAAGGUGUGCUCAAGGCAGUGGGCCACAUCAAUGACACUCUGGCUCCUGCUCUCAUAGCAUCGGGUAUCAGUGUUGUGGAGCAGGAGCAACUAGACAACACGAUGAUUGAAAUGGACGGCACAGAGAACAAGUCUCAGUUUGGUGCUAAUGCUAUCCUGGGAGUCUCCCUGGCCAUUUGCAAGGCUGGUGCAGCAGAAAAAGAGGUCCCCCUGUACCGUCACAUCGCUGACCUGGCAGGAAACACAGAGCUGGUGCUGCCAGUUCCAGCGUUCAACGUGAUCAACGGAGGCUCCCACGCGGGCAACAAGCUAGCCAUGCAGGAGUUCAUGGUACUUCCUGUCGGGGCGGAGUCUUUCAGGGACGCGCUUCGGGUGGGCUCCGAGCUGUACCACACGCUCAGGGGGGUGAUCCAGGAGAAGUACGGCCAGGACGCUACCAACGUGGGCGACGAGGGGGGGUUUGCCCCCAAUAUCCUGGAGAACAGUGAGGCGUUGGAGCUGAUAAAGACAGCCAUCGAGAAAGCGGGCUUCACGGAUAAGGUGGUGAUCGGGAUGGAUGUGGCGGCGUCCGAGUUCUACCGCGAGGGGAAGUACGACCUGGACUUCAAGUCUCCUCCGGACGCUGACAGGCACAUCAGCGGAGAGGAGCUGUCAGACAUCUACCAAGGCUUCGUUAACGACUACCCAGUGGUGUCCAUCGAGGACCCGUUUGAUCAGGAUGACUGGGCCGCCUGGUCCCGCCUCACGGCUUCCGUGGGCAUUCAGGUUGUCGGGGACGACCUGACGGUGACCAAUCCCAAGAGGAUAGAGAAGGCUGCCGAGAAGCGGGCCUGCAACUGCCUACUGCUCAAAGUCAACCAGAUCGGCUCUGUCACUGAAGCCAUCCAGGCCUAUCCAUCAUCUAUAACUGUUGUCAUCAAUCUUGGCCGUAAGUACAGCCAACAGUCAUUCAAAGUCGUUCAAUUAAAAUGUAUUAAUAUAGCCAUCAUUCAUACAUUUACUUUAAUCUCCUUUUAGUACCCUCAUGCUUAUUCUACUCUUACUCUCCCUCUCUUUUGUCUCCGAGCCCCCACCUUUCUCUCUCUCUCUCUCACACACACACACACUCACAGGUGUAAGCUAGCCCAGGCCAAUGGCUGGGGGGUGAUGGUCAGUCACCGUUCAGGAGAGACAGAGGACACUUUCAUCGCUGACCUGGUGGUGGGGCUCUGCACUGGACAGAUUAAGACAGGAGCCCCAUGUAGAUCUGAAAGGCUGGCCAAGUACAACCAGCUCAUGAGGAUCGAGGAGGAGUUGGGGGAUCAAGCUCGCUUUGCAGGCUAUAACUUCAGAAACCCCACUGCCCUGUGAGACCAGACAGACAGACACAUCGCCGCCAACCAGAUGCACAGUUACUUGGAGACACAAAGACAGAUGGACAGAUCAAGAUAUAAAGAGACCGACCGACACACACAAACGUGCACAUAGAGACACACAAGUGUAGAUAUGAAGCCUGAAGGGCACCUAAGAAAGACAGGUAUGAGCGUCAAAGAGAAAAUGAAACACACAGCGCUGUAUACAAAAAAAAGCAACACUCCGACUGAUGGCUGACAAGGACACACUAACUACAGGCUGACUGAGAAUAAAAAGAACACACGUUGUAUUUUGCAGUUGUUUGCUCUCAUUCACCCAUGACGACCCAAAACGGCGCUCUCCCUCCUUCGUCCUCUUCUCCACUUUCCUUUCCCGGCUCUGCAGUCAUCCCUCGUUUUUGUUGUUGUUUCUUGGUUACUUCAAAAGGCUCUCCUGGUGUUGCUAUGUUUGCAGGAAUUGGCCUGUUCCUCCAUGCUUGUCCCCGUUUCCUCUUUCCUUUGGUUACCCUGGCAAUAGAAUUGCUGUGUUGAAAGACAGAACGCCUGUCAUGAAAGGACAUAUGUGAAAUAAAAUGGUAAUUUACAGUUUCAACCA